Long non-coding RNA from Mobula hypostoma (lesser devil ray), 653 nucleotides. RefSeq lists it as uncharacterized. The transcript has 3 exons. NCBI's taxonomy places the organism in Eukaryota, Metazoa, Chordata, Chondrichthyes, Myliobatiformes, Myliobatidae. The record is from RefSeq and is a predicted model, not a curated record.
UGAAAGUUGCUGGUGAACACAGCAGGCCAGGCAGCAUCUCUAGGAAGAGGUGCAGUCGACAUUUCAGGCCGAGACCCUUCGUCAGGACUAACUGAAGGAAGAUCUAACCUAUAUGAAAUGAUGGUUAAUAUUCUGCAAGGCUGCUCAUUUGGUCCACCCCACAAGGUAAAGCAGUCACGAAGAAUUCUGCAGAUGCUGGAAAUUCAAGCAACGUCGACUGUACCUCUUCCUAGAGAUGCUGCCUGGCCUGCUGCGUUCACCAGCAACUUUGAGGUGAUUUAGCAAUACCAGUGUGCCAGAGAAAUUAGGCUGCAAUCAAGUUCCCUGACUUGUGUGAAUGCAGCUGUCCUGUGAGAUCGAGGAUUCACUCUGGAAUGUACUGCAAGUGUGGGAUUGUUGAUUCACCUUGUUAUAUUUUGACAGCAGCCUGUUUAAACAUUUAGGUGCAUUUAGACUACCACAAGGUUCAACCUUAUUUGAGAAACUAUGCAGUUUAAUGGUCAGCAGAGAAAUCAUAUUGCAAAGCUGUUAAACUUUAGAUCAAAAGGCUAGUAAUAAAUAUUUUGAAACAGGCUUUUCAAUAUAAUUCAAUUUUUUUCCAAUAUAAAAUGAAUGUAAAUCAAACCACAAACAACAGGAAUUCUGCAGAUGCU